UACCAUGACCCUCCAACUAUCCCAAAAUCUGAGUUUUGGUUUGUUGUCAUGGUCAUAGAUAAAACUAAGGUGCUAAUAGAAGAGAUGGGCCCCCAGAACCACCUCUACAAUAGAAGGAGUGGAUGUUGGUAAAUCUUUUAAUUAAAAAGCAAUGAAAUUAAUAGAAUGGUGACACUGGUUACUUGAUGAUGGAUAGAUUGUAAGAUAUGAAGAUGGACAAACAUAACAAGAGGAAUUAUGACAAUUAAAAAAAUAACAACAAGAGGAGUCAUUGACAAGUGAAAAUUGCGUGUUAUGCUCAUGACAGAUUUGUAAAAUUUAAUAGAAAGGGGUGUUAAUAAGCGACAGGGGGGGGGGCAAAUUUUUCUGAAAUUUAUACAACGGGGACCCGUCUAUUAGAGACAAUAGAGCAACUAAAUGAAGAAAAUAUUUCCCCAAUAAUCGUACAAAUCUUGGCUACUUUUUAUGUACAUUUGGUAACUUGAGGUGAAGAAAAACCAAAAAAAUUUUAUCUAAGGCACUCCGAGUUUAAUUUUUUGUAGAAAUGAAACUGAUGAAAAAUAAGCAAUACAAUUAUUUCUUUAGAGGGGUUGGAUUGAACCUCUCAACGCAAAAUAAACACACCAACGUCCAAGAUUGUCUCAAUCAUUGAAUUGUUUGAAAUUAUCCGCAACCGUAGAAUGUUUCACCAAUAUUUAGCCUCCCCCUAAAUUUAUUUCAAAAUUUGGUUUGAAAAUAAUAACAAGACGUUGUGGCAAAAAUGUCAGAAGACAGGGCUCCUGACAAUUAUUGGCUGUAGGCAGCUGUUUCCCUAUUUGACCCACUGAUCUAAAAAAAACUGGAUCGCGCAUCUAUUGUUCUAAAAGUGCGGCCGCUGAGAAAUCGCAGCGGCCAUGCUCUUGUGACCACUUUUGCAGACUUGUGGUCUUGUUUACUACGAGGAAAUGCCGGUUCGGACAAGUAAAGUCGAAGUUUCUGUCGUCAAAUAGUGGCAAAGAAUAAAGUGCAAUGGAAUGGCUUGACAGCUAUUGUGGGAUACAAUCAUAUAUAGUUUACUGAGCUAGAACUUCAUAAGUAACAGAUAUUACAAUGAAUAGUAAUUAAAAGAUUGUGACUUUGUUUCAAAUUAAUUUUAAGAUUGUGAUUUAAAAAUUUGA
Long non-coding RNA from Rhopilema esculentum, 1157 nucleotides. RefSeq lists it as uncharacterized. Lineage: Eukaryota; Metazoa; Cnidaria; Scyphozoa; Rhizostomeae; Rhizostomatidae. The record is from RefSeq and is a predicted model, not a curated record.